CCUACGGGGGACAGCAGUGGGGAAUAUUGCACAAUGGGGGAAACUCUGAUGCAGCGACGCCGCGUGAGUGAAGAAGUAAUUCGUUAUGUAAAGCUCUAUCAGCAGGGAAGAAAAUGACGGUACCUGAGUAAGAAGCCCCGGCUAACUACGUGCCAGCAGCCGCGGCAAUACGGAGGGGGCAAGCGUUAUCCGGAUUUACUGGGUGUAAAGGGAGCGUAGACGGGAGUGCAAGUCUGGAGUGAAAGGCUGGGGCUCAACCGCCGGACUGCACUGGAAACUGUACGGCUGGAGUGCAGGAGAGGUAGGUGGAAUUCCUGGUGUAGCGGUGAAAUGCGUAGAUAUUAGGAGGAACACCAGUGGCGAAGGCAGCUUACUGGACUGUAACUGACGUUGAGGCUCGAAAGCGUGGGGAGCAAACAGGAUUAGAUACCCCGGUAGUC
This 440-nucleotide ribosomal RNA is filed under the name uncultured bacterium. RNAcentral describes it as "partial 16S ribosomal RNA". It matches the Rfam family "Bacterial small subunit ribosomal RNA", at positions 338 to 795 of the family's 1533-position model. The record is from RNAcentral.